This 492-nucleotide ribosomal RNA is filed under the name uncultured bacterium. RNAcentral's name for it is "partial 16S ribosomal RNA". It matches the Rfam family "Bacterial small subunit ribosomal RNA", at positions 29 to 507 of the family's 1533-position model. The record is from RNAcentral.
AGUGAACGCUGGCGGUAGGCCUAACACAUGCAAGUCGAACGGCAGCACAGUAAGAGCUUGCUCUUACGGGUGGCGAGUGGCGGACGGGUGAGGAAUACAUCGGAAUCUACUUUUUCGUGGGGGAUAACGUAGGGAAACUUACGCUAAUACCGCAUACGACCUACGGGUGAAAGCAGGGGAUCUUCGGACCUUGCGCGAUUGAAUGAGCCGAUGUCGGAUUAGCUAGUUGGCGGGGUAACGGCCCACCAAGGCAACGAUCCGUAGCUGGUCUGAGAGGAUGAUCAGCCACACUGGAACUGAGACACGGUCCAGACUCCUACGGGAGGCAGCAGUGGGGAAUAUUCGACAAUGGGCGAAAGCCUGACCCAGCCAUACCGCGUGGGUGAAGAAGGCCUUCGGGUUGUAAAGCCCUUUUGUUGGGAAAGAAAAGCAGCAGGUUAAUACCCCGCUGUUCUGACGGUACCCAAAGAAUAAGCACCGGCUAACUUCGUG